GUAGCUACUAGUACCACUCAAUAAUUUUGUUUGUAGUUUAGAAUUUAGAAACGUGCUUAUCUAUAUCACCUAGUUAGAGAAUAUGUUGCAUAAUCCUAGAAGGGGAUAAUCUCUUCCAUUAAUUUAUGGGAACAUUUAGAAUUCUAAAAAAAAUCGUUACAAAAUUUAUGGGAACAGUAAGGAUAGGACUUUAUUCAUCCCAACUAUCAAUUAUACUGCAGUCCAAUUAAAAAUAUUAAAAAAAAAAAAAAAUAGAAUUUAGAAUGCUACAUUGCAAACACUUUUUUAUGGUUAAGACAGAGAAAGUGGUGUUCCUAAACCGAGGAUUGUUGGAGUCUUCGAGAAGCGAGACAAAGAAAAAGGUGAGGUAAUCGAAUCAGCACCACCCCAAAAGCUUGGAGAAGAGAAUCUGGUAGCGGGUUCCAUUCGAUUCCCCCAAACUCAGUGCUGCAUGUUAAGAUUGAAUUGGUGUCUUUCAAACCUGUCAUAAAUGUUACUGGCGACUCCGUGGUGAUUAAGAAGAUUUUGAAAGAAGGGGAGGGUGCUUUCACAGCUAAUGAGGGUGCAAAUGUUACUGUCAACUACACAGCUAUGCUAGAAGAUGGCACUGUAUUUGAGAAAAGAGGAAUUGGAAUGAAUAGCUAUAUAUAAAUAUAGUGUCAAUAGUUUCUUGUUGCUUUUCAGUAUGUAAACAAUGUUUAUCAAUUUAUUUCACCUUCAUAUGUAGCAAGCAAUAAUGUAAUUUUCCUUUUCUAUGGUUCUCAACUCUUGCUAUAGAUAUGGUAAGCUUUUUUUAAGUGCA
Molecule: non-coding RNA, 802 nt
Organism: Cicer arietinum (chickpea)
Lineage: Eukaryota; Viridiplantae; Streptophyta; Magnoliopsida; Fabales; Fabaceae
Source: RefSeq, a predicted model, not a curated record